UACAGAGGUCUCAAGCGUUGUUCGGAUUCAUUGGGCGUAAAGGGUGCGUAGGCGGCGCGGUAAGUCGGGUGUGAAAUCUUGGAGCUUAACUCCGAAACUGCAUUCGAUACUGUCGGGCUCGAGUCCGGAAGAGGCGAGUGGAAUUCCUGGUGUAGCGGUGAAAUGCGCAGAUAUCAGGAGGAACACCAAUGGCGAAGGCAGCUCGCUGGGACGUGACUGACGCUGAGACGCGAAAGCGUGGGGAGCAAACAGG
Molecule: ribosomal RNA, 253 nt
Filed under: uncultured bacterium
Lineage: Bacteria
Description: partial 16S ribosomal RNA
Rfam family: Bacterial small subunit ribosomal RNA
Source: RNAcentral